AUUGAACGCUGGCGGCAUGCUUUACACAUGCAAGUCGAACGGUAACAGGUUAAGCUGACGAGUGGCGAACGGGUGAGUAAUGCAUCGGAACGUGCCCGGUCGUGGGGGAUAACGCAGCGAAAGCUGCGCUAAUACCGCAUACGAUCUAAGGAUGAAAGCGGGGGGCCGUAACGCCUCUCGCGAUCGGAGCGGCCGAUGUCAGAUUAGGUAGUUGGUGGGGUAACGGCUCACCAAGCCAACGAGCGGUAGCUGGUCUGAGAGGACGACCAGCCACACUGGGACUGAGACACGGCCCAGACUCCGAAGGGAGGCAGCAGUGGGGAAUUUUGGACAAUGGGCGAAAGCCUGAUCCAGCAAUGCCGCGUGCAGGAAGAAGGCCUUCGGGUUGUAAACUGCUUUUGUACGGAGCGAAAAGGUCUCCUCUAAUACAGGGGGCUCAUGACGGUACCGUAAGAAUAAGCACCGGCUAACUACGUGCCAGCCGCCGCAGUAA
Molecule: ribosomal RNA, 493 nt
Filed under: uncultured bacterium
Lineage: Bacteria
Description: partial 16S ribosomal RNA
Rfam family: Bacterial small subunit ribosomal RNA
Source: RNAcentral